Molecule: long non-coding RNA, 229 nt
Filed under: Lathyrus oleraceus (garden pea)
Lineage: Eukaryota; Viridiplantae; Streptophyta; Magnoliopsida; Fabales; Fabaceae
Description: Pisum sativum (pea) long non-coding RNA (PSAT_LNC027743)
Source: RNAcentral
UUUGAGACAACACACCCGUGAUUAAUGAUUUCUUCAUCCACUUGUCUCUGUGAAAGAUAAACUUUCCGUAUUUACGGGUCCUUACAACCGCUAAUUACUAUAGGACGGAGAAGAACAAUAUAGUUCUCAAGUGAAUAAGCACGGAGCAUGCAGGGAGCAGAGGUUUGUGUCGGGUUAAACAUGGAACACGCGUACCAAGUACAGAUACGUUUCGGUCAGUGGAUCAAAC